RNAcentral lists this ribosomal RNA (2877 nucleotides) under human gut metagenome. RNAcentral's name for it is "bacterial LSU rRNA". It matches the Rfam family "Bacterial large subunit ribosomal RNA". The record is from RNAcentral.
AGCGCAUACGGUGGAUGCCUUGGCAGUCAGAGGCGAUGAAAGACGUGGUAGCCUGCGAAAAGCUUCGGGGAGUCGGCAAACAGACUUUGAUCCGGAGAUGUCUGAAUGGGGGAACCCAGCCAUCAUAAGAUGGUUAUCUUACGCUGAAUACAUAGGCGUAAGAGGCGAACCAGGGGAACUGAAACAUCUAAGUACCCUGAGGAAAAGAAAUCAACCGAGAUUCCCUUAGUAGUGGCGAGCGAACGGGGAUUAGCCCUUAAGUGGCUUUGAGAUUAGCGGAACGCUCUGGAAAGUGCGGCCAUAGUGGGUGAUAGCCCUGUACGCGAAAAUCUCUUAGUCAUGAAAUCGAGUAGGACGGAGCACGAGAAACUUUGUCUGAAUAUGGGGGGACCAUCCUCCAAGGCUAAAUACUACUGACUGACCGAUAGUGAACUAGUACCGUGAGGGAAAGGCGAAAAGAACCCCGGAGAGGGGAGUGAAAUAGAUCCUGAAACCGUAUGCGUACAAGCAGUGGGAGCAGACUUUGUUCUGUGACUGCGUACCUUUUGUAUAAUGGGUCAGCGACUUAUUUUCAGUGGCGAGCUUAACCGAAUAGGGGAGGCGUAGCGAAAGCGAGUCUUAAUAGGGCGUCUAGUCGCUGGGAAUAGACCCGAAACCGGGCGAUCUAUCCAUGGGCAGGUUGAAGGUUGGGUAACACUAACUGGAGGACCGAACCGACUACCGUUGAAAAGUUAGCGGAUGACCUGUGGAUCGGAGUGAAAGGCUAAUCAAGCUCGGAGAUAGCUGGUUCUCCUCGAAAGCUAUUUAGGUAGCGCCUCAUGUAUCACUGUAGGGGGUAGAGCACUGUUUCGGCUAGGGGGUCAUCCCGACUUACCAAACCGAUGCAAACUCCGAAUACCUACAAGUGCCGAGCAUGGGAGACACACGGCGGGUGCUAACGUCCGUCGUGAAAAGGGAAACAACCCAGACCGUCAGCUAAGGUCCCAAAGUUAUGGUUAAGUGGGAAACGAUGUGGGAAGGCUUAGACAGCUAGGAGGUUGGCUUAGAAGCAGCCACCCUUUAAAGAAAGCGUAAUAGCUCACUAGUCGAGUCGGCCUGCGCGGAAGAUGUAACGGGGCUCAAACCAUACACCGAAGCUACGGGUAUCACGUAAGUGAUGCGGUAGAGGAGCGUUCUGUAAGCCUGUGAAGGUGAGUUGAGAAGCUUGCUGGAGGUAUCAGAAGUGCGAAUGCUGACAUGAGUAACGACAAUGGGUGUGAAAAACACCCACGCCGAAAGACCAAGGUUUCCUGCGCAACGUUAAUCGACGCAGGGUUAGUCGGUCCCUAAGGCGAGGCUGAAAAGCGUAGUCGAUGGAAAACAGGUUAAUAUUCCUGUACUUCUGGUUAUUGCGAUGGAGGGACGGAGAAGGCUAGGCCAGCUUGGCGUUGGUUGUCCAAGUUUAAGGUGGUAGGCUGAGAUCUUAGGUAAAUCCGGGAUCUUAAGGCCGAGAGCUGAUGACGAGCUAACUUUUAGUUAGCGAAGUGGUUGAUGCCAUGCUUCCAAGAAAAGCUUCUAAGCUUCAGGUAACCAGGAACCGUACCCCAAACCGACACAGGUGGUUGGGUAGAGAAUACCAAGGCGCUUGAGAGAACUCGGGUGAAGGAACUAGGCAAAAUGGCACCGUAACUUCGGGAGAAGGUGCGCCGGUGAGGGUGAAGGACUUGCUCCGUAAGCUCAUGCCGGUCGAAGAUACCAGGCCGCUGCGACUGUUUAUUAAAAACACAGCACUCUGCAAACACGAAAGUGGACGUAUAGGGUGUGACGCCUGCCCGGUGCCGGAAGGUUAAUUGAUGGGGUUAGCUAACGCGAAGCUCUUGAUCGAAGCCCCGGUAAACGGCGGCCGUAACUAUAACGGUCCUAAGGUAGCGAAAUUCCUUGUCGGGUAAGUUCCGACCUGCACGAAUGGCGUAACGAUGGCGGCGCUGUCUCCACCCGAGACUCAGUGAAAUUGAAAUCGCUGUGAAGAUGCAGUGUAUCCGCGGCUAGACGGAAAGACCCCGUGAACCUUUACUAUAGCUUUGCACUGGACUUUGAAUUUGCUUGUGUAGGAUAGGUGGGAGGCUUUGAAGCGUGGACGCCAGUUCGCGUGGAGCCAACCUUGAAAUACCACCCUGGCAACUUUGAGGUUCUAACUCAGGUCCGUUAUCCGGAUCGAGGACAGUGUAUGGUGGGUAGUUUGACUGGGGCGGUCUCCUCCUAAAGAGUAACGGAGGAGUACGAAGGUGCGCUCAGACCGGUCGGAAAUCGGUCGUAGAGUAUAAAGGCAAAAGCGCGCUUGACUGCGAGACAGACACGUCGAGCAGGUACGAAAGUAGGUCUUAGUGAUCCGGUGGUUCUGUAUGGAAGGGCCAUCGCUCAACGGAUAAAAGGUACUCCGGGGAUAACAGGCUGAUACCGCCCAAGAGUUCAUAUCGACGGCGGUGUUUGGCACCUCGAUGUCGGCUCAUCACAUCCUGGGGCUGAAGCCGGUCCCAAGGGUAUGGCUGUUCGCCAUUUAAAGUGGUACGCGAGCUGGGUUUAGAACGUCGUGAGACAGUUCGGUCCCUAUCUGCCGUGGACGUUUGAGAUUUGAGAGGGGCUGCUCCUAGUACGAGAGGACCGGAGUGGACGAACCUCUGGUGUUCCGGUUGUCACGCCAGUGGCAUUGCCGGGUAGCUAUGUUCGGAAUAGAUAACCGCUGAAAGCAUCUAAGCGGGAAACUAGCCUCAAGAUGAGAUCUCACUGGAACCUUGAGUUCCCUGAAGGGCCGUCGAAGACUACGACGUUGAUAGGUUGGGUGUGUAAGCGCUGUGAGGCGUUGAGCUAACCAAUACUAAUUGCCCGUGAGGCUUGACC